Molecule: ribosomal RNA, 497 nt
Filed under: uncultured bacterium
Lineage: Bacteria
Description: partial 16S ribosomal RNA
Rfam family: Bacterial small subunit ribosomal RNA
Source: RNAcentral
GAUGAACGCUGGCGGCGUGCCUAAUACGUGCAAGUCGAGCGAACAGACGAGGAGCUUGCUCCUCUGACGUUAGCGGCGGACGGGUGAGUAACACGUGGAUAACCUACCUAUAAGACUGGGAUAACUUCGGGAAGCCGGAGCUAAUACCGGAUAAUAUAUUGAACCGCAUGGUUCAAUAGUGAAAGACGGUUUUGCUGUCACUUAUAGAUGGAUCCGCGCCGCAUUAGCUAGUUGGUAAGGUAACGGCUUACCAAGGCGACGAUGCGUAGCCGACCUGAGAGGGUGAUCGGCCACAAUGGAACUGAGACACGGUCCAGACUCCUACGGGAGGCAGCAGUAGGGAAUCUUCCGCAAUGGGCGAAAGCCUGACGGAGCAACGCCGCGUGAGUGAUGAAGGUCUUCGGAUCGUAAAACUCUGUUAUUAGGGAAGAACAAAUGUGUAAGUAACUAUGCACGUCUUGACGGUACCUAAUCAGAAAGCCACGGCUAACUACGUG